Molecule: long non-coding RNA, 456 nt
Organism: Rhineura floridana
Lineage: Eukaryota; Metazoa; Chordata; Lepidosauria; Squamata; Rhineuridae
Exons: 3
Source: RefSeq, a predicted model, not a curated record
ACCUCAGUGAACAAAGUAGAUACGUUUCUGGACAUCACUUCUUUAACAGAAACUUUGGAUACCAAAGUUUGAUACAGGUCUAUACUGGAAAAGUUUUACAAAACGGUACUGAAAUGAAGCUGCAGAAAACAGGAGGAAACUCAAAAGGAGGUGCUCCAAUAUAACUGCAGAAAGCAGGCAACUGUAGAAGAGGGUACACUGCUGCAAAAUAUGCCCACAGCCCAAAUUUUCACAAGGAAACGAAGACCUGUCUGAGAGAAGGAAACAAAGUGCCAGAUAACAAGAGAGGGAUUAACGCGGCAGAGAUGACAAGUCACUCAAGAAAACAAGUCGCUAGACACCCCUAGUAGGCACUGAAGGAUCUGAUUUCAGCAGAUACUGGCAAGCACUUCUCCUGUGCUAAUAGCUACAAAUCCUCUGCUGCGUGCAUCCAAAGCUGCUGUAUAUGCAGGGGCC